CAAGCACUAAUGGUGUAGUGGUAACAUAUAACACUUCCAGUGGUCUUCCGACCGCCAAGUUAUGUUGUGCCGGGGGUUCGAUUCCCUCUUAGUGCAU
This 97-nucleotide transfer RNA is filed under the name Penicillium nalgiovense. RNAcentral describes it as "tRNA-Gly". It matches the Rfam family "tRNA". Rfam says of the family: Transfer RNA (tRNA) molecules are approximately 80 nucleotides in length. Their secondary structure includes four short double-helical elements and three loops (D, anti-codon, and T loops). Further hydrogen bonds mediate the characteristic L-shaped molecular structure. tRNAs have two regions of fundamental functional importance: the anti-codon, which is responsible for specific mRNA codon recognition, and the 3' end, to which the tRNAs corresponding amino acid is attached (by aminoacyl-tRNA synthetases). tRNAs cope with the degeneracy of the genetic code in two manners: having more than one tRNA (with a specific anti-codon) for a particular amino acid; and 'wobble' base-pairing, i.e. permitting non-standard base-pairing at the 3rd anti-codon position. Lineage: Eukaryota; Fungi; Ascomycota; Eurotiomycetes; Eurotiales; Aspergillaceae. The record is from RNAcentral.